CUUGGGUAUUGGUACAUUGGAAUUAUUUCAGGCCUUUCAAAGUGUGCUGUGAUUUGAUAUUUAACCAAUUGUGAUAGUGAGUGUGGACCUUAUGAACAGAACUCAUUACAGAGGAAUAUACAGGGCUUGAUGUUGAAGAUAAAUAAAUUGAAACUAUCUGUUUCCUAGCAGCUAAGUGUCUCCUGGCUCAAGCUUCAUACUCAAUGGACAGAUAAGAGUCCUCUGCAGAAUCAUUUUUCUGACUAUUCCUUCAAUCUCAACGGUUCUCUAUGGUUUGAACAAAUUGGUGAGCCUUUAAUCUGCCUGUAAGAACACACUUUCAGGAAACAAGAAAAUGCCACCAGCCAAACGGAGACGUGGGGGGCUGAGACGGCGGCUGUUCCAGAUAGAGAUGCGAGAUGGAUUCAUAUAUAUUCAUGAAUUCAGUCAGAAAAGUCAAACGGAAGCAGUAUGAUAAUCUUGCAGUAAUUGCAUUUUUCCCUCCAACUGUUUUUGGCAGAGCAGAGAGCCACGUUCAGACACGCGGGAUGGGGAAUACAGUCUCGAGGAGCCGUGAACAGUGGAUACCCUCUGACCCCCGUACCUAAGAUUCAUUUGAUGUCCUGACCUCUGACUGAAGAACUUUUUAAUUUUCUGACUGUGCACUCUUUCUCUUCCGGGCCCCAGGAAAUGCCUUACAAAAAAAAAAAAAAAAAAGAAACAUUCAAAGGACCAUAUUUCAAACUAUCAAGCUUUUUUUUCUCUCCAUACAUGUCAGUCUGCUGUCAGCAGCCGUCUGAAAAGUGCUGACAUUGCUGCCCUCCUGUCCGGCAGCCCGCUCCCUCUGUGUGAACUUGGAUUUAGCUCAAGGGUAUAGCCACCCUGCUAAUGUGAUGUAGCUCCGAGAAGGAAACAAAUUGGCCUGACGUCUCAUACGCUGCCUUGUCUUGAUUGUGUGAUGGCUUCUACUGCUAAUGUGUUACGAUGGGUAGACCUGCGCAGGGAGGGAGACGGGUUUGUGUGUGUGUGUGUGUGUGUGUGUGUGUGUUACAUGGAGAGAGAAAGAGAGCGGGAG
Molecule: long non-coding RNA, 1054 nt
Organism: Gasterosteus aculeatus aculeatus (three-spined stickleback)
Lineage: Eukaryota; Metazoa; Chordata; Actinopteri; Perciformes; Gasterosteidae
Source: Ensembl